RNAcentral lists this ribosomal RNA (443 nucleotides) under uncultured bacterium. RNAcentral describes it as "partial 16S ribosomal RNA". It matches the Rfam family "Bacterial small subunit ribosomal RNA", at positions 338 to 795 of the family's 1533-position model. The record is from RNAcentral.
CCUACGGGAGGCAGCAGUGGGGGAUAUUGGACAAUGGGGGGAACCCUGAUCCAGCGACGCCGCGUGAGUGAAGAAGUAUUUCGGUAUGUAAAGCUCUGUCAGCAGGGAAGAAAGCAAUGACGGUACCUGACCAAGAAGCCCCGGCUAACUACGUGCCAGCAGCCGCGGUAAUACGUAGGGGGCAAGCGUUAUCCGGAAUUACUGGGGGUAAAGGGGGCGUAGACGGCUGUGCAAGUCUGGAGUGAAAGGCGGGGGCCCAACCCCCGGACUGCUCUGGAAACGGUAUGGCUGGAGUGCAGGAGAGGUAAGCGGAAUUCCUAGUGUAGCGGUGAAAUGAGUAGAUAUUAGGAGGAACACCAGUGGCGAAGGCGGCUUACUGGACUGUAACUGACGUUGAGGCUCGAAAGCGUGGGGAGCAAACAGGAUUAGAUACCCGAGUAGUC